RNAcentral lists this ribosomal RNA (253 nucleotides) under uncultured bacterium. RNAcentral describes it as "partial 16S ribosomal RNA". It matches the Rfam family "Bacterial small subunit ribosomal RNA", at positions 524 to 776 of the family's 1533-position model. The record is from RNAcentral.
UACGAAGGGUGCGAGCGUUAUUCGGAAUGACUGGGUGUAAAGAGCUUGAAGGCGGUUUGGUAAGUCAGCUGUUAAAUUACUCGGCUUAACCGGGUGUAUGCGGUUGAAACUGCUGAGCUAGAGUACAGGAGAGAAGAGUGGAAUUCUCGGAGUAGCGGUAAAAUGCGUAGAUCUCGAGAGGAACACCGGUUGCGAAGGCGGCUCUUUGGCCUGUUACUGACGCUGUAGAGCGAAAGCGUGGGGAGCAAACAGG